RNAcentral lists this long non-coding RNA (476 nucleotides) under Androctonus crassicauda. Lineage: Eukaryota; Metazoa; Arthropoda; Arachnida; Scorpiones; Buthidae. The record is from RNAcentral.
UACUGUAUAUUAAAGUUUUAAAUUGAUAGGUCUAUUCGUUAAUGGGAAGUAGGGAGUUUACUACCACCUGUCCCUUAACAUCUGUUCUCUGCCACCUGCCAUUUUUAUAAGAAGCUAGUAGUGUAUUUGAAAAGCCGAUUCUUUUCAAGCCACGCUAUAAUGUUUUGUUUUCUUUCUUCCAGGAAUGAAUUUACUUUUUUAAUUUGCCCGCUAUGUAUCGAGAUAAAACCAAGCUGUCAUCUUUGCGAACAUCUCGGCUGCAGACACAAGCUAAUAUCUCCCGAUUACCGAAUACUUCAUUUGUCGGACAGAAGGUCGAGUAUCUUUUUUAUCUUGACAGUUUUCACAUGUUAUUCGUCUAUAUCCGCUUUAAUUAAAACGAAUUUAGUAGUUUUAAUAAAAAUAAACUUUAUCCAAAGCUCUUUUAUUUAAAAAUAGUUUAUUAAUUCUUUUUUCACUAGUAUAGUAUAGGCCCU